GACAAAGACACAGAGCGCGGCCUGGGAGGCGGAGCUCUGCGGGCGGCCGGGGCCGCCUCCUUCCAGGCGCUGCUGCCCCAACACAGGCGGGCACUCUCUGCGGGUCCCGCGGCUCCCGCGGCUUCCGGCCCACUCAGCGCCUCCAGAGGCCUCAGACGAGUCUCGCUCUGUUGCCCAGGAUGGAGUGCAGUGGCGCGAUCUCGGCUCGCUGCAAGCUCCGCCUCAGCCUCCGGAGUAGCUGGGACUACAGGAGCCCGCCACCACGCCCAGCUAAUUUUUUUGUAUUUUUAGUAGAGACGGGGUUUCACCGUGUUAGCCAGGAUGGUCUCGAUCUCCUGACCUUGUGAUCCGCCUGCCUCGGCCUCCCAAAGUGCUGGGAUUACAGGCGUGAGCCACCGCGCCCGGCCGAAAGUCUUUUAAGAUAGGGAAGAGCAGUGCCCAGUGGGGUGUCCCAGGGAUAAAAAUAGGGCAGUAGGUGAAGGCGGGGGGUGUGAGCCAGGCAGGCAGGGGGGACCAGACACCAUGUGAUGGGUGCAGGGGUGGGACCCACGGAGGCUCUGAAAAAGGCCUGGGCCUUAGAAGAUGGGGAAGCAGGAGGACCCACUUAGAGGCCUUCACAACCUUCUAGGGCACAGGCCAGAAUGCGGUAUAGGUUUCAGAAGGGGGCUGG
Long non-coding RNA from Homo sapiens (human), 670 nucleotides. Lineage: Eukaryota; Metazoa; Chordata; Mammalia; Primates; Hominidae. The record is from Ensembl.